Molecule: ribosomal RNA, 782 nt
Filed under: Hypogeophis brevis (Mahe caecilian)
Lineage: Eukaryota; Metazoa; Chordata; Amphibia; Gymnophiona; Indotyphlidae
Description: Grandisonia brevis (Mahe caecilian) partial 16S ribosomal RNA
Rfam family: Bacterial large subunit ribosomal RNA
Source: RNAcentral
UCAAAACCCAUUAAACAUAAUGAGUACGCCUAUAUUAACUAUAUAGCCGAAUUAAUGUUAGAACUAGUAAUAAGAAACUACAAUUUUCUCUAAAACAUCUGUAUAAAUCAGCUCGAACCACUCACUGAUAACUAACAACCAAAUAAUUCUAUUAAAAAAUCACACUAGACACCCAAUUUAUUUACUACACCGUUAACCCAACACAGGAAUGUUUUCAAGAAAGACAUAAAAGUAAAGAAGGAACUCGGCAACUAUUGAGCUUCGCCUGUUUACCAAAAACAUCACCUCUAGCAAACCUAAACAUGUAUUAGAGCACUGCCUGCCCACUGAUUUUAUUCAACGGCCGCGGUAUUCUGACCGUGCAAAGGUAGCAUAAUCACUUGUCUUUUAAAUAAAGACUAGUAUGAACGGCGUCACGAAAGCCUAACUGUCUCCUUUAUUUAGUCAAUGAAACUGAUCUUCACGUACAAAAGCGUGAAUAUUAAAAUAAGACGAGAAGACCCUAUGGAACUUAAAACACGCAGCCAUUUUAAUCUAACACAACAGCAAUAAUACACCUGGAUUUCGCUGUUUUUGGUUGGGGCGACCACGGAGUAAAAUACAACCUCCGAGAACAUCUACUAAGAUUAACAAAACAACGUACCAAAACUUUAGCCUUUAAGACCCAAUAAACUUGAUCAUCGAACCAAGCUACCCUAGGGAUAACAGCGCAAUCUUCUUUCAGAGCCCUUAUCACCAAGAAGGUUUACGACCUCGAUGUUGGAUCAGGAUGCCCAGACAGU